RNAcentral lists this ribosomal RNA (526 nucleotides) under uncultured bacterium. RNAcentral's name for it is "bacterial SSU rRNA". It matches the Rfam family "Bacterial small subunit ribosomal RNA", at positions 777 to 1305 of the family's 1533-position model. The record is from RNAcentral.
AAUAGAUACCCAGGUAGUCCACACCGUAAACGUUGGGCGCUAGGUGUGGGGCCUAUUCCAUGGGUUCCGUGCCGCAGCUAACGCAUUAAGCGCCCCGCCUGGGGAGUACGGCCGCAAGGCUAAAACUCGAAGGAAUUGACGGGGGCCCGCACAAGCGGCGGAGCAUGCGGAUUAAUUCGAUGCAACGCGAAGAACCUUACCUGGGUUUGACAUACACCGAAAAGCGCCAGAGAUGGUGCCCCUUUUGUCGGUGUACAGGUGGUGCAUGGCUGUCGUCAGCUCGUGUCGUGAGAUGUUGGGUUAAGUCCCGCAACGAGCGCAACCCUCGUCCUAUGUUGCCAGCACGUUAUGGUGGGGACUCAUAGGAGACUGCCGGGGUCAACUCGGAGGAAGGUGGGGAUGACGUCAAGUCAUCAUGCCCCUUAUGUCCAGGGCUUCACGCAUGCUACAAUGGCCGGUACAAAGGGCUGCGAUGCUGCAAGGCGGAGCGAAUCCCAAAAAGCCGGUCUCAGUUCGGAGUUGGGGU